RNAcentral lists this ribosomal RNA (479 nucleotides) under uncultured bacterium. RNAcentral's name for it is "partial 16S ribosomal RNA". It matches the Rfam family "Bacterial small subunit ribosomal RNA", at positions 28 to 507 of the family's 1533-position model. The record is from RNAcentral.
GAUGAACGCUAGCGGGAGGCCUAACACAUGCAAGCCGAGCGGUAGAGUCUCUUCGGAGACUUGAGAGCGGCGCACGGGUGCGGAACACGUGUGCAACCUGCCUUUAUCUGGGGGAUAGCCUUUCGAAAGGAAGAUUAAUACCCCAUAAUAUACUGGAUGGCAUCAUCUGGUAUUGAAAACUCCGGUGGAUAGAGAUGGGCACGCGCAAGAUUGGAUAGUUGGUGAGGUAACGGCUCACCAAGUCAGCGAUCUUUAGGGGGCCUGAGAGGGUGAUCCCCCACACUGGUACUGAGACACGGACCAGACUCCUACGGGAGGCAGCAGUGAGGAAUAUUGGACAAUGGGUGAGAGCCUGAUCCAGCCAUCCCGCGUGAAGGACGACGGCCCUAUGGGUUGUAAACUUCUUUUGUAUAGGGAUAAACCUAGAUACGUGUAUCUAGCUGAAGGUACUAUACGAAUAAGCACCGGCUAACUCCGUG